GUUACUGACAUGUCAACGAGAUCAGCACUGGAACAAAGCGAGAGCAUCAACGGUGCGGUGUAUAGGAAGACGGAGCUUUUGCCCUGGACGAACAGCACGAUGAACAAAGAAAGGAGAACAAAGCAUGGUCUCCUGUCUUCUCCCGAACGUACUUCCAGGACCGAGCUCCAUGGCCAUGUCGCAUUCGAACAGUGCCCUUCCUUAUGUCGAUGCACGAGGAGGGAAAAUUGAUGGUGCUGCGCACAUGCAGAUGAUUGCUUGCAGAUAGAUACCAAUGAAGAUAGUGUUCUAACGAUGG
This is a long non-coding RNA of Ornithodoros turicata, 298 nucleotides long. RefSeq lists it as uncharacterized. The transcript is spliced from 4 exons. The record is from RefSeq and is a predicted model, not a curated record. NCBI's taxonomy places the organism in Eukaryota, Metazoa, Arthropoda, Arachnida, Ixodida, Argasidae.